GACGAACGCUGGCGGCGUGCUUAACACAUGCAAGUCGAACGGAAAGGCCCUGCUUUUGUGGGGUGCUCGAGUGGCGAACGGGUGAGUAACACGUGAGUAACCUGCCCUUGACUUUGGGAUAACUUCAGGAAACUGGGGCUAAUACCGGAUAGGAGCUCCUGCUGCAUGGUGGGGGUUGGAAAGUUUCGGCGGUUGGGGAUGGACUCGCGGCUUAUCAGCUUGUUGGUGGGGUAGUGGCUUACCAAGGCUUUGACGGGUAGCCGGCCUGAGAGGGUGAACGGCCACAUUGGGACUGAGAUAGGGCCCAGACUCCUACGGGAGGCAGCAGUGGGGAAUAUUGCACAGUGGGCGGAAGCCUGAUGCAGCAACGCCGCGUGCGGGAUGACGGCCUUCGGGUUGUAAACCGCUUUCGCCUGUGACGAAGCGUGAGUGACGGUAAUGGGUAAAGAAGCACCGGCUAACUACGUG
Molecule: ribosomal RNA, 468 nt
Filed under: uncultured bacterium
Lineage: Bacteria
Description: partial 16S ribosomal RNA
Rfam family: Bacterial small subunit ribosomal RNA
Source: RNAcentral